CCUACGGGUGGCAGCAGUGGGGAAUAUUGCACAAUGGGCGCAAGCCUGAUGCAGCCAUGCCGCGUGUGUGAAGAAGGCCUUCGGGUUGUAAAGCACUUUCAGCGGGGAGGAAGGCGGUGAGGUUAAUAACCUCAUCGAUUGACGUUACCCGCAGAAGAAGCACCGGCUAACUCCGUGCCAGCAGCCGCGGUAAUACGGAGGGUGCAAGCGUUAAUCGGAAUUACUGGGCGUAAAGCGCACGCAGGCGGUCUGUCAAGUCGGAUGUGAAAUCCCCGGGCUCAACCUGGGGACUGCGUUCGAAACUGGCAGGCUAGAGUCUUGUAGAGGGGGGUAGAAUUCCAGGUGUAGCGGUGAAAUGCGUAGAGAUCUGGAGGAAUACCGGUGGCGAAGGCGGCCCCCUGGACAAAGACUGACGCUCAGGUGCGAAAGCGUGGGGAGCAAACAGGAUUAGAUACCCGAGUAGUC
RNAcentral lists this ribosomal RNA (465 nucleotides) under uncultured Klebsiella sp. RNAcentral describes it as "bacterial SSU rRNA". It matches the Rfam family "Bacterial small subunit ribosomal RNA", at positions 338 to 795 of the family's 1533-position model. The record is from RNAcentral. Lineage: Bacteria; Pseudomonadati; Pseudomonadota; Gammaproteobacteria; Enterobacterales; Enterobacteriaceae.